AAAAGACUUGGUGUUUUCUGUGGCAGUGGUAUCAUGGGAGAACUCUAGCAUUAACGUUAGUGGUCGUCAACGUUUUCAAAAACAAGCAACAAGCAUUUUCAGUUGAUUCUUUGAAUUACACCUCAAACACAGAAAAACUGAAUAUGAUCUACAUUGAUGAGACAGAACCGGACGAAAAUGAGUCAGAGACGUCUUUUGAAGCUAGGAAUAUCUCAGUUAAAAAAGAC
This is a long non-coding RNA of Limulus polyphemus (Atlantic horseshoe crab), 227 nucleotides long. RefSeq lists it as uncharacterized. Lineage: Eukaryota; Metazoa; Arthropoda; Merostomata; Xiphosura; Limulidae. The transcript is spliced from 3 exons. The record is from RefSeq and is a predicted model, not a curated record.